GCCAUUAGUGGAUGCCUUGGAAGUAUUGACCGAAGAAGGACGCUUCAUGGUUCGCGAAACUCGUCGGGGAGUGACCAAUGACACUUUGAUCCGGCGGUGUCCGAAUGGGGAGACCCGUUCCGAUGCAAAAUCGGAAUAACCUCGUCACGAAAAUGUUCCGCCGUAAGGCGGGAUGUAUUAGUGGCAGGUGGGGUACCCGGUGAACUGAAACAUCUAAGUAACCGGUGGAAAAGAAAUCACAGAGAUUCCCUUAGUAGCGGCGAGCGAAAAGGGAAAAGCUCAAACCGCUUAUGCAUAGCAUAAGCUAGUUUAUAAAGUAGAAAGUUUUUAAGGUUUGUAAGGUAAUUCUUUAUGAACUUUAUAACUUUACGAACUUUAAACUGGCUCGUGCUGUGCACGAGCGGUGUUGUAGGACGGCUGGCUUAAAUGCAAAAGGUUACAAGAGUUAGGUAGUAGAAGGCGCCGGAAUUGCGCCGCCAAAGAGGGUGAUAGCCCUGUAAACGAAACCUAAUUCUACCUUCGCCUGUUCCUGAGUACCAUGGGGCACGAUUAAACCCUGUGGGAAGCUGGGGCGACCAAGCUCCAAAGCUAAAUAUCAAUACUUACCGAUAGUGAACUAGUACCGCGAGGGAAAGGUGAAAAGCACCCCGGGAGGGGGAUGAAAGAGUACCUGAAACUAAUGGCUAACAAGCAGUCAAAGGGCUUUGCCCUUUGAACAGUUGACAGUUGACCAAUUGACCAAUUAACGAUCAAAAGUUGUUAAUUUGUUAAUUUUGUUAAUUUGUUAAGUGUUCAGAAGGCAGAGCCUAAUGACGUGCCUAUUGAAGAAUGAGCCAGUGAGUUUUUGUUGUCUUCUAGUCUAACCAAGCUCAGCUUGGGGAGGCGCAGUGAAAGCGAGCCCUAAUCGGGCGAAAUUAGAAGCCAACAGGAGACCCGAAACCGGGUGAGCUAACCAUGAGCAGGGUGAAUGCCGACGAGAGUCGGCAGGAGGCCCGAACUCGUGACAGUAGCAAUUGUCUGAGAUGACUUGUGGUUAGGGGUAAUAUACCAAACGAACUCGGAGAUAGCUGGUUCUCCCUGAAAUAUAUUUAGGUAUAGCCUUAAUAAUUACGCAUUGGGGGUAGAGCACUGAAUGGUCUCUGGUAGCGCAAGCUAUCAGGAUCAAUCAAACUCCGAAUACCAAUGUAUUCAUAUAUUAAGAGUCAGUCCUGCGGCGCUAAGGUCGUGGGGCGAGAGGGAAACAUCCCAGACUCCCGUAUAAGGCCUCUAAAUUCAAGCUAAGUUGUUAAGAAAGUCACGGUCCUCAGACACCUAGGAGGUUGGCUUAGAAGCAGCCAUCCUUUAAAGAAAGCGUAACAGCUCACUAGUCGACCUGCCCCGCCUUUGGCGGGGUAAAGGACAGUGGCGUCGAAAAUGAUCGAGGAUUAAGCUUGAUGCCGAAGACGGAGGUGUUCCGGUUGUAUAUUUUGUUCAUAAAAUCAGUGGUAAUCUGUUACAAAUCCGCGCAAAUCAAGGCCUGGAUUUAACAGAUUUAUGGCUGAUUUUCACGGAUCGAUUUAUGGACAGGAUUUACGACCGGAAUGCAGUAAGGGAGCGUUCUGUUUGCCUUGAAGCUGAAUCGUAAGGUUUGGUGGAGCGAACAGAAGUGAGAAUGCUGGCAUGAGUAGCGAAUUGCACCUGAGAACGGUGCACGCCGAAAGCCCAAGGUUUCCUUCGCAAUGUAAGUCAGCGAAGGGUUAGUCGGCUCCUAACGGUGACCCGUGGUAACGCGGGGUAGCCGGAUGGACGACUCGUUAAAAUUCGAGUACAGGGUGUGGUGCGUUAUUACCUGGGGACUGACCAUCUUGGAAGAGGUUUCCCGAUAUAUCGGGAUUAAGUCGCAAGAUAGUUUUGAUUGGGAAAUCCGUCAAAGUGUUUAAAUCGAGCGACGAAUACAAGUCUGAAAGGCAACAAGUAGGACGAGAAUCUAUCUUUCAGGAUGCGAGAAAAAGUUCACAGGAAGCAUCAUAUCUUGCCGUACCGCAUUACCGACACAGGUGGGCUGGUGCAAGAACACCAAGGCGAUCGGGAGAAGAAUGUUCAAGGAACUCGGCAAAAAAGCUGGGCGUAACCUUUGGGAGAUGCCCUGCCACGACUAAUCUCGUGGUUAAGCAAAAGAUUAUUUGGCAACUGUUUAUCUAAAACACAGGUCCCUGCAAAGCCGAAAGGCAAGGUAUAGGGGCUGACACCUGCCCAGUGCUGGUAAGUCAAUGAUGGUGGAUGAAAUUCGCAAGAAUCAGUCUAUUUUCAAAGCUCCAGUGAACGGCAGCAGUAACUAUAACUGUUCUAUGGUAGAGUUUGAAAGAAAACUCCACUGCCAUAGUGAGGUAUGUUUGCAGAGUGCAAAAGAACCCUCCGUUUCGAUAGCCAAAUUCGAGAUGAAAAUCUGACCAUAUGCUGGAAAGUCUUGUUACUCUGAAUCUACUAUGGUAAUAUUUUUCCAUAGCGAUGAAUUUACAAAGUAAAAAUGAUAUCAGUAAAGAUAAUCAGCAGGAAAGGCUUAGAACUGCAGGUUGGAUUGUAGGAUUUGUUGAUGGAGAAGGAUGUUUCUCAGUAUCAAUCUUUAAGAAUCGAACAACAAGAAGUGGAUGGCAAGUUUUGCCUGAAUUUGUUGUAACGCAAGGAGCAAAAAGUCUAUCGGCGCUCGAAGAAAUGAAAAAUUACUUCGGAUGUGGGAGACUUUUUAUAAAUCGGCGUCAUGACAAUCAUAGAGAAGAUCUAUACCGCUAUUGUGUUCGAGCAAUUAGAGAUUUAAGAGAGAUAAUUAUUCCUUUUUUUGAAGCAAAUCCAUUAAGAACGGCUAAGAAGAAAGACUUCGAGCUGUUUAAAGAAGCAAUUCGACUAAUGAGUGAAAACGUUCAUCUUACCCAGGAGGGUGUUGAUCGUCUUCUAAAACUAAAGCAGUCCUAUUCAUCCUCAGAGACUAUACGUCAGAGUCCUAUAAUAGGACAAGAUAUAGUCCAAGCUAUAUAGGAUCUAAUCCUAUAGUACGAGCGAAGUUCCUUGUCGGGUGAGUUCCGACCCGCACGAAAGGUAGAAUGACCGAAUAACUGUCUUGAACAUUUACCCGGCGAAAUUGAGAUGGCUGUGAAGACGCGGCCUAGUUGUCCUAGGACAAAAAGACCCCGGGAGCUUUACUGUAGCUUCGCAUUUGAAAGAUUAUUUUAACUGUAGAGAAUAGGAGGGACCCCGCCGCAAGGCGGGGGUCAGUGGAAUACCUCUCUUUAAAAUGGUUGAUCAUUAUUCUUAUCCCGCAUAAAAAUCCGGGAAGAAGACAGUGCGUGGUGGGCAGUUUGACUGGGGAGGUCGACUCCUAAAAUGCAACGGAGUUGUACAAAGGUUGGCUUAGCACGGAUGGAAAU
RNAcentral lists this ribosomal RNA (3401 nucleotides) under Candidatus Levybacteria bacterium RIFCSPLOWO2_12_FULL_40_10. RNAcentral describes it as "partial 23S ribosomal RNA". It matches the Rfam family "Bacterial large subunit ribosomal RNA", at positions 17 to 2338 of the family's 2925-position model. The record is from RNAcentral. Lineage: Bacteria; Candidatus Levyibacteriota.